CCAUGGCCAAUUUCCAGAUCAAUCUCCUCCCCAAGUUCCCUUACGACUAAGUGAUGCCUCUGCGCCUGCUGAAUCAAGUUCAUAUCAUCCAUUGCAGAAUUCAUCCCUACUCCACCAGUCCGCAGCAACAUUAAGCAUGACAGUCUUACCACACUAUAAAAUCCUACAGAGUCUUAAGAUAACAGAAGUAGCCAAAGUUGCCGUCUU
This 207-nucleotide unclassified non-coding RNA is filed under the name Hevea brasiliensis (rubber tree). The record is from RNAcentral. Lineage: Eukaryota; Viridiplantae; Streptophyta; Magnoliopsida; Malpighiales; Euphorbiaceae.